Long non-coding RNA from Podarcis muralis (Common wall lizard), 333 nucleotides. RefSeq lists it as uncharacterized. The record is from RefSeq and is a predicted model, not a curated record. Lineage: Eukaryota; Metazoa; Chordata; Lepidosauria; Squamata; Lacertidae.
UAGCCUUGCCCUUCUGAUUUUGGAUAUCCUGCUGUUUCUCAUCGAGCUGUUCAUCAUCUCAUUCAGGGUUGAAGAUUCUGUGAAGAUUUCAGAUAAAAAUGAACUUCAAAUGGAUCUGGCUGCUGGCACUUAUCCUGAUCGUAGGACUGGCUAGUGUGGCAGAUGCCAGGCGUGGACGGGGAGGUGGACGAGGCCGCCGAGGUGGCUUUCGACGAGGCUUUCGACGAGGUUGGCGCUGGGGCCGCCGCGGGGGCCGAGGCUGAGGAGCAAAGUAGAACGAAAUGAAGGCACAGACCAGGAACGUCUGACAACGGCAUCCCUCCAAGACAAAAA